Sinocyclocheilus rhinocerous is the source of this 287-nucleotide long non-coding RNA. RefSeq lists it as uncharacterized. Lineage: Eukaryota; Metazoa; Chordata; Actinopteri; Cypriniformes; Cyprinidae. The transcript is spliced from 4 exons. The record is from RefSeq and is a predicted model, not a curated record.
GGUGAAUUGGACGGCAGGACGCCGGAAGAAAGGAAGUGGGUCAGACAUAAUUUUUUGACCACUUUGUACGUUUUUGUUUGUAGAAUCCCUUUUUUCGAACGAGUUUCGUUUGGUAUAAUUUGUAUCUUAAUUUUAAUAUGUUUUUUGUUGGUCAAUUAUUUACCUGAAUAAAUGAGAAGAAAGAAUAAGCGUUUCAUGGAAUGAAGUGCGUUCAAAACAAAGCCCGCUACCAUGCUUCCGCGGCCAAAACAAAGGCCGAAACAAAAUUUAUUAAACAUUUUUAAACA